Molecule: long non-coding RNA, 644 nt
Filed under: Mus pahari (shrew mouse)
Lineage: Eukaryota; Metazoa; Chordata; Mammalia; Rodentia; Muridae
Description: lncRNA (MGP_PahariEiJ_G0006114.1)
Source: RNAcentral
GGCACGGCAGCUGUUCAGCCUGAAGGAUGGGGACAGAGGCUGGAGCGAGCAGGCAGGCAGGCAGGCAGGCAGCUCACCCACCCUAGGGAGUGCCUGCAGUGAGCCAGGCACCUUAAGGAGCCUCUCCAGGGAUGCUUCCCUUGAGGACUUCUAUCCACUCCCAGAAUUCAACUGACCACCUCCUCCUGCUCUUGUUCCUGGGUGAGGGAAUCAAACCCAGAGCUUGUAAGUAGAGAGCAGAGUUGGAGCAAGUGAAAAUUGCAUUUUGUAUAGGACUAAGGAAAUGGCACCUUGAGUGGUGACAGGGCUGACGUUGGAGAUAACGUGACACCAGGGGAACAAUGGCGCUGUGGACAGGAAAGAAAAGUGGGAGCUUCCGGGAACAGAAAAUUCAAGUUUCUCCUCAUAGCAUGUUGGAGUCAGGUAUCAGGUCUACACACACACACCUCCGCUCUGGCCUAGCUGGUUGCUUUGGGACAAUGUGGAGAACCUGCUGGAAUUCCAACUAAAGCAUUCACAUUGAGGCCCACCUCUGUGUUCUGGGUUCAGAUCCUGCUGUUACCAUACUCUGACAAAUUAUUUAAUUCUUUUGAGUCUCAAAUAAGGUAGUAAGACUUGGGUGAUUGGGUUAAGAAAUAAAUAUU